GAGGAGUCUCGUAGAAUAUAAAAUUUACACCUGUGUAAUAUUUGUCAUAUUUGGAAGUAAGAUGAUCUGGAUUUGUCGGGUAAUUGUUGAGUCCGAUUGGAUAUUUUUAGCGGGAAUAUGACCCUUGCUUAGUCGAGAGUGUCUGCAAAGCCGCCCUUCCUGACGCCGCAGCGAUCCUGUUCUUAACGCUCGGUCCAGUUUGAGUCAGACUGAGAUGAAAACACGAUUUCAGUCAAACUAACGUGUCUUUGUACAUCUAGAAGUCAAUGUUUUUUUUUAAACAUGAUAAAUCCAUUUUUGAAGCGUCUCAGAGCUCAAGGUCGCGGCUCGCAGAGUCUCGUCAGGACAGAAGUCUGAUCGUCUGCAGGAUGAAUAAAUUAUGUUGAUCAUACGAUCUCAGAAUCAUCUUCACAUCACGUAUAACGAGGCCCCUUCAUUCAUCACACGGCUUUGUCAUGCCACCAAUCACAUAUGUGUGUGUGUGUGUGUGAGUCUUUAAUGUCAGCCUCGUUAGACGCCGUCCUUCACGGGUCCUUGGUCUCCUCUCCGUGACGACGUGCAGAAACGUCCCCAUGACAACCUUUAAAUUACGGUCAAUAAGUCACAUUAUCUCCUCCGCUGAGAUUACACGCGCUCUUUAUCCCAGUCAUCAGCACACACACACGUCUGGAGACGAAUCUCAACAUGUUUGACCAGCCGACCGACUGCUGCGCCGUUAAAACCAGCCAUCAUCGUUCCAGGGGGGCGGCGGCGGUGGCGGCGGUGAAACGGUGAAAUGAUCAGCGGCAGAUUGAGGCCUGCAGCUUGUCUUUAUCGUCUGCCUGCUGUGGAGAGACACGUUGGAGCUGAGAGGAUUGUGAUGUAGUCGGAGAAUUAGAAUAACAAUGACAGUGAGAAUCAAAUAGAGUCAUGUCUGAUGGUAAUAGCCGGCAGAUACUGAAGGUGCUUUUUCUGCUGAUUUCCCUCGAGGAAGCUGAAAUAAUUCAGCUAAUCCUGCAGCUUCCUCAGACACCGAGCGUCUCUACCUCUCUGAGCUGGUGUGUGUGUAUUUGUGCGAGAGCCUGUGGGUGAAGUGCUGUACAUAUUCAGGUACAGUGGAGCCUGUGUGGAGUCUUUCUUUAAGCAUGAGGUGAGAUGACUCAGUAACUCCAGGGGGUUGUUUGAAGAGCUGAAUCUGACGCGCUGACGGAGGUGUUUGACUGAGGGAGCGAGCUCGGGGUGAUCUUCCACUUCUCUCCUCAUGAAUCUUUGUUUGAGGGAGGUUUUUUUUACUGUUUUUUUGAGGCUGCUGACAAACUUGUCAAGCGAAAGUGCAGAGAGAAAAACUUCAGAUGAGUCAGGACUGAUGAGGAUCUCUAGACCCUGUCAUGCAAAAACCAAUCAGCAUGUUAGAUCGGUUCACAUGGACUCUAGAAUCCCAUACAGUAGUGAGAUACUCCUCU
Xyrichtys novacula (pearly razorfish) is the source of this 1442-nucleotide non-coding RNA. The record is from the annotation of a GenBank genome assembly. Lineage: Eukaryota; Metazoa; Chordata; Actinopteri; Labriformes; Labridae.